AGUGAACGCUGGCGGUAGGCCUAACACAUGCAAGUCGAACGGCAGCACAGUAAGAGCUUGCUCUUACGGGUGGCGAGUGGCGGACGGGUGAGGAAUACAUCGGAAUCUACUUUUUCGUGGGGGAUAACGUAGGGAAACUUACGCUAAUACCGCAUACGACCUACGGGUGAAAGUAGGGGAUCUUCGGACCUUGCGCGAUUGAAUGAGCCGAUGUCGGAUUAGCUAGUUGGCGGGGUAAAGGCCCACCAAGGCGACGAUCCGUAGCUGGUCUGAGAGGAUGAUCAGCCACACUGGAACUGAGACACGGUCCAGACUCCUACGGGAGGCAGCAGUGGGGAAUAUUGGACAAUGGGCGCAAGCCUUAUCCAGCCAUACCGCGUGGGUGAAGAAGGCCUUCGGGUUGUAAAGCCCUUUUGUUGGGAAAGAAAAGCAGCAGGUUAAUACCCCGCUGUUCUGACGGUACCCAAAGAAUAAGCACCGGCUAACUUCGUG
This 492-nucleotide ribosomal RNA is filed under the name uncultured bacterium. RNAcentral's name for it is "partial 16S ribosomal RNA". It matches the Rfam family "Bacterial small subunit ribosomal RNA", at positions 29 to 507 of the family's 1533-position model. The record is from RNAcentral.